Molecule: ribosomal RNA, 608 nt
Filed under: uncultured bacterium
Lineage: Bacteria
Description: bacterial SSU rRNA
Rfam family: Bacterial small subunit ribosomal RNA
Source: RNAcentral
GAUGAACGCUAGCGGGAGGCUUAACACAUGCAAGUCGAGCGGGAUCCCCGAGCAAUCGGGGUGAGAGCGGCGGACGGGUGCGUAACGCGUAUGCAACCUGCCUUAUGCAGGGGGAUAGCCCAUGGAAACGUGGAUUAAUACCCCAUAGUAUUGUUAAAUCGCAUGGUUUGACAAUUAAAAUUUCGAUGGCAUAAGAUGGGCAUGCGUAGGAUUAGCUAGUUGGUGAGGUAACGGCUCACCAAGGCAACGAUCCUUAGGGGUUCUGAGAGGAUUACCCCCCACACUGGGACUGAGACACGGCCCAGACUCCUACGGGAGGCAGCAGUGAGGAAUAUUGGUCAAUGGCCGGAAGGCUGAACCAGCCAUCCCGCGUGCAGGAUGACGGCCCUACGGGUUGUAAACUGCUUUUCUACUCCAAGAAACCUGGCUACGUGUAGCCAGUUGCCGGUAGAGUAGGAAUAAGCAUCGGCUAACUCCGUGCCAGCAGCCGCGGUAAUACGGAGGAUGCAAGCGUUAUCCGGAUUCAUUGGGUUUAAAGGGUGCGCAGGUGGGUUUGUAAGUCAGUGGUGAAAUGCUGCCGCUUAACGGUAGAAUUGCCAUUGAUACUG